UCAUCUUUUUUCUAUAUUUUGUAGUACUUGGCAUUUUUCAGUUCGCGUAUUACAAUUUUAUCUUAAACACAUCUUUUAUUAUCCAUUUUCAUAUUGUAAAAUUAAAAAUUAGUCCACAAAGAUAAAAAUAAUAUAAAAAAUUGCCAAUUUUUGAACAAAAAGACGAAAUAACCCCUCCCCUAAAAAUAAAAAUUUCUCUCAAUCUGUUCGGUACUCUCUCUCUUCUUCUCCCCCCCUCCUCUCUCUCCCCCACUCUCUUUUCUCUCUCUCUCUCUCAGCUCUCUGUCGCCCCGUCGCCGCCCUCUGAUUCUCGGCGAGCAGCGGUUACAAGGCUGCCACCACCGCGAUUCUCAGCCGCCUGAGGCCGAGCAGUUCAUCGCCGGAAAAAAUGGCCUCUUUUACCAAUCUAUCUCCUUCUCAUGCUCGAUCUCCAGUUCGGAUCUAAGCUCCACUAGCCCUUCCACGCAGCGACAGAGCUGGCCCGCCACCGGGUCACGCCGCCCUCCACCACCUUCGCCCGGUUCCGCCCCCACGAGCAGAGCUCUGAUACAAGCUUCAACGCCGACUUCUUCGCCGGAAAAAAUGGAUCCUCUCUUACAUACUGAGAUUUGAGCGAAAUAUAAGUUGAUCUACUGAGAUUUGGGCGAAUUGGUGAUUUUAGUGAGGAGUUUUGUUGAUUUGAUGGAUCCUCUUACUAUUGUAGGAAUUCAAUAUCGAGAAGCUGCAGUUGGUGGAGGCUGAGAAGAAGAAGAUCAAAUAGGAAUACGAGCGCAAGGAGAAACAAGAUCAAGUGCGCAAGAAGAUCUAAGAUUUUAUGGUUUCAUUUGAAUUAAUCGAUGUAUAGAAAGCACGCAGAUGCCCGCAUGAACCCUGCAGCUAGCUAGAAAGCUUAGCUUUUUCAUUCCCGAGAGACUUUGGAAAUCGGAUAAUUAAUCAUAGUUGGUAAUGAUUUUUGGAUGCAGAUAAGUGAAAUUGUUUAGUUCAUUUGUUUGAUUUUUUAAAUGAUUUUUCCAUACUAUAAAGGAAGCGUAUUUACAUUGAUAUGUUGAUGUUAAUGUGUUGGUUUUCUGAAUGACUCCUAUUUAUUGGCAAUUUCUUGAAUUCACGACUAAAUGUAUC
Molecule: long non-coding RNA, 1119 nt
Filed under: Salvia miltiorrhiza (redroot sage)
Lineage: Eukaryota; Viridiplantae; Streptophyta; Magnoliopsida; Lamiales; Lamiaceae
Description: long non-coding RNA (SMIL_LNC002182)
Source: RNAcentral